RNAcentral lists this ribosomal RNA (424 nucleotides) under uncultured bacterium. RNAcentral describes it as "partial 16S ribosomal RNA". It matches the Rfam family "Bacterial small subunit ribosomal RNA", at positions 360 to 776 of the family's 1533-position model. The record is from RNAcentral.
AAUUUUGGACAAUGGGGGAAACCCUGAUCCAGCCAUCCCGCGUGUAUGAUGAAGGCCNNNGGGUGNUNACGAACUUUUGGCAGNGANNAAAAGGUAUCCACUAAUACGAGAUACUGCUGAGGGUAACUGCAGAACAAGCACCGGCUAACUACGUGACAGAUGCCCCGGUAAUACGUAGGGUGCAAGCGUUAAGCGGAAUUACUGGGCGUAAAGCGUGUGUAGGCGGUUCGGAAAGAAAGAUGUGAAAUCCCAGGGCUCAACCUUGGAACUGCAUUUUUAACUGCCGAGCUAGAGUAUGUCAGAGGGGAGUAGAAUUCCACGUGUAGCAGUGAAAUGCGUAGAUAUGUGGAGGAAUACCGAUGGCGAAGGCAGCCCCCUGGGAUAAUACUGACGCUCAGACACGAAAGCGUGGGGAGCAAACAGG